AAAUUGAAGAGUUUGAUCAUGGCUCAGAUUGAACGCUGGCGGCAGGCCUAACACAUGCAAGUCGAGCGGAAACGAGUUAUC
RNAcentral lists this ribosomal RNA (81 nucleotides) under Vibrio alginolyticus. RNAcentral's name for it is "partial 16S ribosomal RNA". It matches the Rfam family "Bacterial small subunit ribosomal RNA", at positions 1 to 81 of the family's 1533-position model. RNAcentral also lists the same sequence under 13 other names. Lineage: Bacteria; Pseudomonadati; Pseudomonadota; Gammaproteobacteria; Vibrionales; Vibrionaceae. The record is from RNAcentral.